UGAUUUAUUACCUUUUGAAUAUUUGGUGUAAGCAUGUUGCUCAAUUCUAAGGACUUAGCCAUCCUCUUAGCAAAUUUUCUCAUAUGCUUAACCCUUAGGCAUUCAAGGAGUUUAAUGAGAGGCUUCUCCAGAGCUUUUAAUAUCCAGCUGUGAAAUGAUUCGGAGAUGUUCGAUGUCAAAUGAUUUUAUCUACACCCUUGAAAAUAUGCAUUUGUCAUCCCUGAAAAUAUGCAUUUGUCCAAUUUUUUGGAUAUUGUUUUAUGAUAUAGACAUAGGCCUCAUCAUUUGCACUCUUAAUUUUUGACAUGUACUCAUCGAACAUUGAUACAGCUAAUGCACGUGUCACUUUUCAAUAAAGUUUUGUGAGCACCGGAUUUCUAAAUUCCUUUUUGAAGUUAUUGGUUAAGUGACACAUACAAUACCCUUGUUCAUUGGUUAGGAAUAUUUUUUCAAUUGCUUCUUGCAACCCUUUUUGACGAUUUGAUAUAAUAGACAAAGCUGGCAGAUCAUGCCUUUCUUGAAACUGCUCAUUGAGAAGCUAUAGAAACCAAGUCCAACUUUGUGUAUUUUCACUCUCAACUACUGCAUAUGCUAUGAAAAUAUAUUUUCAUUCACAUAUAUCGUGAUCACGUUGUACAUCAUUAAUAACAUCUCCAGAUGUCAAAUUGGGUAUAUCAUUCAAACAGUCUUUGAUCUUGGUUACCACCCCAUGGCUUCGAGCAAGGGGCUGAUGAACCAUGCCUAUUGUACCGACACAAGAGUGCACAUUUACAAAGUUCUUCACCUAGAAGAAGAUUGUAGUAUUAACCAUCCAACGACGCACUUGCCAUGGACACUCAUCUGCAACACACCUCACUCAUACUUGUCUCUCCUCACUUUUACAAACUUCAUAUUGAAGUUUUGUGAUAUGGCAUAAUCAAUAAGAUGAUUACGAUAUGCUUGUACGUCAUCAAAAUCCUGACCCUGUUGAAGUACAACUUCAUAACUGUCAAUCAUGAUAUAGCUUUCUAUCAUAUCGAUGUCGUCAAUAUGGUGCUUGAUUUCUAAAUCAUGCUCAUCUUCACUCUGAACGACUUACUCUUGUCGGGUAUCGCUGUCGAAAAAAUAUUAGAAGAGCAAGUGAGAAUUAUCCUAACCCAUAACAUCUGCACUAAAAAAUUUAUUAAAUAAAAAAAUAAAUUUUAUUACAAACUUGUUACAUGAUCAAUCUUAAUGGACCAUUAUCGACCACUGUUGGUGGUCAAGAUUCGGUGGAGUCCGACUCAAUAGGUCUGUUUGAUACAUACUUAGCAAUGGGAGAAGACCCUUCCAUCAUAUUUGCAAUGUCGUCAUCAUCGUCAAUACAUACCAUAUUCAUGUUACCUAGUAACCCUGAAUCAAUAUACCUAAUAGACAUGGUACUUGGAGCACAAUUUGUUACUUUUCAUCGGUGAGCUUUUAUUUGGUCGAAGGAUGAGAUUCGCCUAAAAUAAGUAAUCUUCAGGUCCCCACCAUUAUAGAAAACACGUCCACUAUUAGAAUUCCUCUUGAAAGAACCACCAAAGUGUAAAGCGAUUUUCACUUUGUCGUCACCCAUUUUUGGUGCGUGCAAGCCCAAUCACUACUGAGAUCUCCAAUUUAAGAUAGAAACAAAUAUAAAAUGGAAAUUUUUGGUAUCAAUAACGGAAGAAAGCAAUGCAUGUAUAAAGUUUUUAAAAUAUUUAGAUAUAAUGACGAGGUAGCAUUACAGAGGGAUAUUAGAUGUCAAUACAUAUGCAUUAAUACAAAUAUAGAUCUAAAAUUUAUUUAUGCAAUAUUUCAAACAAAAAAAUUACAAAUGGCCAACCCAACUACAUCAAAUACCAAAAAAAAAAGAGCAUAAUAUUUGUUAAAACAUAAUAUUUGCACAUCCAAGGAAAUAUAAUUCAAAGCUUGAUGAUUUUCAUGACAUACCUAUAAAAUGGUAUUGGUGUGUAUCACAGAUUGAGAAAUAGAAGGAGAUGACAGAAAAUAGAUGAGAUAUUAGAGAUGGAGGAGGAUAAGGAAGAGAUGUGUGGGGUUAGAGUGCGAAUGAGAUGGGAAAAUAAUAUUUUAGUGUUUUUAGGAGGGGUUAGAGGGAAAUGGGGUUUUUAGGCCUAAAGAAAUUGUGAAAUAGGGCGUGAAAGCUUAGAAAAACUCACGGUUGUUUUCCUAUUGUAUAAAGUAUCAAUAGGGUUACAAUACUUUAAGUACCGUAAUAUGUUUUAAUAGUAUUACGGUAAUUCGGGUACUGUAAUAAAAACAGGUUUUUUUAUGGCAUUAUAAGUAUCGUAUAAAAUUGGGUAUUCAUUAAGGUACUUAAAGUACCAUAAUAUUCUUUACUGUAAUAUGACUACCAUGAAGGUUAUUUUAGUCACAAAACACCUAAAAUUGAAGAACAAAGGUGUAGACGAGGUUUAUGAAAGUUAGAGUUUUUUUUUUAAAUAAAAAAAAAUUAAGAUAUAUUUGUGAUAAUUUCCUUAAAAAAGCAUAAAAAGUUCUCUCUCUCGGCUUCUUAUUCAAGUCUAAAAAAACCUUCUCUCUCUUGGGUUCUCAUUCACGUCUAAAAAACCUCUAUGAAGGGGCGAACUGCUUAAAAAACCCACUUUUUUACAACAUCAUUUCUUCCAUUUUAAACUUGGGUGACAUUUGUAUAGAACCGAGUGUGAUACCCUAAAAUAUAUUUCCAUAUCUAAAUAAAAAAUGUCAAGCUUAAAAAAUAGUGUAGAUCGAGUUGAUCUAUGAAAACUUAAAAAUUAUAAAAAUUGACAAUCCAAAAAUGCAUUACAAGAUCCAUUAUUUCCAAAACUUGGAAUUUAUUUAUUUUAUUAUGUCCAUCCAUCUUAAUGUCGAAAUGAUCAAUUUAAAGAUUUAAUAUCAAAACAACCUCUUCUAGUGAAUUUUUUGAGGUGGGCUUUAAUUUGAUAGUUUAGAGGCUCGACUCUAUAUAAACUUUCUUUUUAAAAACUUUACUUUUUUUUCUUUUUUCUUUUCUCUAAAAAUUACCUCAAACCCUUAUAUAAAAAAAGAAAUAUCUCCUUAUCCCUUUAUUUUAGGUUUCAUUUAUUAAUAAGGCUACAAAAGAUAUCUUCUAACACCUAGUCAUUUUAAAUUUAUUUUUUAACUUAAAUAAAUGUGAAAAAACAUGCUUUUUUAAAACCAAUUAUUUCUCAAACUUCACUUAUAUAUAUCCUAAACUGCACAUUUUUUUUCCAAUUAUUUCUCUCACUUCACUUAUAUAUAUCCUAAACUUCACAUUUUUUUUUUUUAAGCAUAUCUCACUCUCCCCUCUUGUUUUUUGAAAACACCUCUCGAUUCCAUGAAACCCUUCUCCUCUUGUGUUUUUCAAACACCUCUCCGAACCCUUCUCCUCUUGUGUUUUUCAAACACCUCUCGAUUCCAUGAAUCCCUUAUCUUUCAAGGAGUUUGGGAUGUGGCUUUUAAAAACAAAAGUGCGUCUCUUUAAAUAUGUUUGGCAUAAAAAAGGUUAAAUUAAGUAAAGCAGUUGAAGGUUAUUGUCGUAGUAUAAAAUAAGUGAAAGCAAAACAUGGCAAGACAGACCGAUAUGAAUGUGGUGUUUAGAGAGAGAGGACGGGGUUUUAGAAAUAGCUGUAAAAGACUCCUGGUUUUAGAGAGAGAAAAAUAAUAGACAAAGACGGGGUGUAAGUCGUCUUAGGGCUUUUGAGAGAGUGUGUACGCUGUUCAAAAGAGAGAGAGAGAGGGUGGUGAUGGUUAUAGAGAGAGAAAGAGGCUCUGUUAGCCACCUAAUAGUUUUAGAGAGAGAGAUUCAUGGAGAGAGAGAUGUGUUAGCCGUCUGAUGGGUUUAGAGAGAGAAAUUCAUAGAGAGAGGGGGGAGAGAAUUACCCAUAUCCGGGGCAAAAAAUGGUUAUCCGUUUGGAUAAUCAAACUUAAAUGAGCAAUAAUGACGAAAGAGAUCAAUUAACUGCACAGCCCCAACCAAUUUCCCCUAUAAAUACUACUCCCCAAUCCAAUCCAACCCAAUAACCAAAGCUAGAGAGAAAAUCUAAAACCGCAAAAUUUUUUUUAGAGAGAGAGAGGGAGAGAGAAUACUUUGGAGCGAGAGGUUCUAAAGCCCCAAAAUUUAGAGAGAGAGAGAGAGAGGAGAGAAUACUUUGGAGAGAUAUUUUACAGAGAGAAUUCCAAAGCCUCAGAGAGAAGAGAGAAACCCGAAGGGAAGAGAAACCCAAGAGAGAGGACAGAUAAACACCUAAGAGAGAGAAGAGAUAAAACGCCUAAGAGAGAGAAACCCAAACGCAAGAAAAAACCCAGAGAGAGAAGAGAGACAAACACAGAGGAAACAGAGAGAAGAGAAGUUCAGGGGAAGAGAGAGAAAAACUCAAAACAAGGAGAUAGAUAUUAUUAUAUAUAUUUAGAGAGAUAAAGAGAGAUCGAAGCCCCAAACACAAGAGAAGAGAGAAACCCAAAAGGCGAAAACCAUGGAAGAUGACCAAAAUACCGCUCACCCAUUGCUCAGAGGAGGAAGAAAGGAGAAGAGCUUCAGUCAUGGCUUCACCAAAGCUCAGAUCCAAUCACUGACGGCCAUCUGUGAGGCCUUGAUACCCUCAAUGCCAAUCACAGCCCUCCACGUCAGCUCCCAGCGGGAUCCGCCACCAAGCCCAAGCCUCGUCUCCUUCUACAAAGCUUCAGGCUCCGAUUACCAAGUCCCUGACCAGGCAUUAUUUCGGUCCCGAAACUCUGAAACUUUCGUCUUCUCCAUACGAAAUUCCAUCUUCUGCAAUCACUUUAUCAUCGAAACUUACCGUCAAACAACACCCAAAAUACUGCACUUUUUUUAAUACAAAACAUAGAAAUAUUUCUUCCUUUUUGGUGUUUGCAGUUCCCUUUUCUUUUCUGUUUUUUUUUUUAUAAUGGUUCAACCCAAAUUUUGGGUACAUGUUGGUUUUAUCAUGGUUACUAAUUCUGUGGAUUUGUCAUGUAAUUACUUCCCAAAAAAUGGAUUUUUGGGUAUUUGACAUUUUUUAUUUAUUAUAAUAUAGGAGUCAAAGGAAUAUUUGCAUCUUCUCAUGCUUUCAGUUUAUUCUUUUUGCUUUUUUGGUUUCCCAAAAUUUUGGUACUCCACAGCCAAAUUUCAGUAAAAAAAAAAAACGACCUUGUUUCGUUUACUAAUCUUUUUAAUUGGUUUAUUUUUGGACAAGGAUUUGUGGAUUUUAUGUAAUUUCUUUUUUUGCAUUUCAUUGUCUUCUGUGGGUUUUAUGUUGUUUAUUCCUAUUAAAUUUAGGAAAUUCUUUUCCUAUUCUUAGACCAUCUAAUAUUUUCUUAUCCUAUUUUUGGUCAAUUUUAUUUGUUGUGCUUCACUUUUUUUCAUAAAUCUUUGUGGGCGCCUUUUUAGGUUGCAGAAUUGAUGGUGAAAAGAGGACUACCAGAUGCUGUGACUUUGGUUUCAUGGGUAUUGUGGGCCUUGUCCACAAGGCUUGGGACAUUACUUCUUUGUGGGUCCACUUGCCUUUCUCUCAAUUUCCCUUUCAUUAGAAGCUUUUCUGAGAUGCCAGUGGAGAAGAGAGAGAAAGUGUUGAUGGCCUGGUCUAGAGAGAGAAGCUUCUUUUCUGCACUCAGACUUAGCUUUGCGCUCUUCAAGAUUUUCUGCGUGUAUGUCUUCUACUCCUGGGUAAGUUUUUUUUUUUGUUUCAAUAUUUUUUUAUUUUUUAUUUGUAGUUGUUAGGAAAAUUAUAAAAAAUAUCUCUUUUUUAGAUUAUUAGAAAUAGAACCCAAAUUUUUCAAAACUUCAUUUGUAGCCGAUUUUUUGUAUAUUUUUUCAUGGUAGUGUAGGGCAUCACAGUUUACCCCGAACCAUGAUGGGUUUAAGUAAUUUUGACCGUGAACCAUCAUUGGUUUAAGUGAUUUUGACCCUGAACCAUGAUGGGUUUAAGUGAUUUUGACCCUGAACCAUGAUGGGUUUAAGUGAUUUUUUUUCAUGGUAGUGUAGGGCAUCACAGUUGACCCUGAACCAUGAUGGGUUCAAGUGAUUUUGUGUUGGGUUUAAGGCUAGAACCACAAAGAAUCACGGAACUUAAAGCACGUCAUAGUUCUAAUUGAACCGUGAUAGGGUCAUGGGUUGUUUAACUAUUAAAGUUCUAAUUGAACCGUGAUGGUAUCACCGUGGUGCGUGAUAGCCAAGGUGAUCAUCAUGGGUGGUUCUAAUGCUACCCCCAUCCGUCAUUGUCCCAGUAGGUUAAGCCCCACAUCAGCAGGACUUUAACACUUAUGUGAAGGGUAUUUUAAAAAAAAAAAAAAAAAAAAAAAAAAAAAUUAAAAUAAAUAAAAAUAAUGGGUUGAUGAAAAUGCAAAGGAGCAUGAUUUAGGUUUCGGAAAAUUUAGAGUUUGCUUCCAAUAACCUAAAGAAACGAGAUAUUUUUAAUAAUUUUCUUAGUUUACGUCUAAGGUGUUUUAGUGGCCCAGGGAAGCAAACUGUAAGUGUGGUCUUGCAUCCAGAACGUCUAAUUGGUUUUUCUUUGUCAUGAAUCUUUGAGAAAGUGUAAAUAGUAUUUGAUUCAUCUCGUGAUCAACGUAAAUGUUUUUGAGCUCAAUAGUCUUUCCAUAUGAGUCCAUCAAAAGUCUUUACACCGUAUGAUGCACCUAUCAUGUUUUCCGCUGGUAUAGUAGAGUACACUGUACACUUACUUCCUCGCGCAAAAGAGUUACUCCGGAUGAUUCUUUUUUAAAGAGAUUUUAAAAAAUGGUGCAGUUGGCAUACCGAUGCAUCAGGCGAUGUAGAGGUAAGGUGCGCCUUCAAAUUUUAUCAUGAUAUAUAAUUUUGAUGUAAAAUGCUAUGAAGAUUAUCUCAAAAUCUAUUUUUAUAUUUAAUUAUAAAAUUUUAAAUUUUAAAAAUGGUUAAAAUCAAGUAGAUCUAUAUACAUAUGCAAAUCUUGAAAAUAGACAUUGUAAAAUGCAGUAUUUUUGAGACUUAAAAUCUUUUUAUUUUUCAUGGUCAUACAUCUCGAUGUCGAGAUGAUCAAUCAAAGGGUUUUUCAAUAUUAAAACUACCUUUUCCGAUGGAUUUUUGAGGUGCAUCCGUAGGUCUACUUAUAAGGUUGCAACCAAUCUUAUAAUGUAGAGCUACGGAUUAAACUUUUUCCUUAUAAAAAUAUACACAAGAUAUCAACUGUUUAACCAUCCUUAUAUUGUACAAGUAAGGAGCACUUCUUGAUUUUGCUUGGAUGUAGUUUCGGUGUCCGAAGCCAUAUAAUGACUUGAAAAUAUAUUUUCAACUAUUUAAAAUACCAAAAAUGGUAUAGAUAAAACAAUUCUAUAAACACUUGAAAAUAGACUCCCGAUGAUUUGUUACUAGAUAUCUAUUUUUAGGAUCUAAAAUUCAGUUUUUCUUCGUACCCAUUCAUUUGAGGACAAGAUGAUCAGAUUGGAGGGUUUUUCAAUGUCGAAACCCUCUCUUUUGGGGAUUUUUGAGAUGCACAUUACUUCAAUAGUGUAAGGUCAACACCUUUCUUGAACUUUUCCCUUAACAAUUUUCUCAUAUUUUUUAUUUAAUUUCAAAAUACCUACCUAAAUAUACAUGAUCAUGCAUUGAAACAGCUUUUUCUCAUAAUAUACACAAGAGACGAAUUGUUGGAAAAGGGUAAAAAGCUGUUAAACUGUUGAGAAUUUAUGAGUAUUUUGAUAAUGGGAAAAUUUCAUACAGAACCUUAAUUCCUUGUAUUAUUCUGAACAUUUCACCGUAGCCCCUCAUCUCUUAUCUCCCUCUUUUAUUGAUUUUGACUAUAAAAAUUAGCCACAGCAAAUCUUUUUAUACUAUUUCAACCCAAAAAAAAUUUUAACCCUCUUUUUCCCUUUCCAUCGAUUGAAAAAGUUUGUGUUGCAAUGGUGUAAAAUGAUUUUUUUGAGUUAAUUUUUAUGAUUAAAAAUCAAUAAAAGAGAGAGAUAACCAUUACUUAACCUCUUCCCUCCAUCUAUCUAUGACUUCACUAACCAACC
RNAcentral lists this long non-coding RNA (7965 nucleotides) under Amborella trichopoda. Its description in RNAcentral is "long non-coding RNA (ATRI_LNC005204)". The record is from RNAcentral. Lineage: Eukaryota; Viridiplantae; Streptophyta; Magnoliopsida; Amborellales; Amborellaceae.